AGUGAACGCUGGCGGUAGGCCUAACACAUGCAAGUCGAACGGCAGCACAGUAAGAGCUUGCUCUUACGGGUGGCGAGUGGCGGACGGGUGAGGUAUACAUCGGAAUCUACUUUUUCGUGGGGGAUAACGUAGGGAAACUUACGCUAAUACCGCAUACGACCUACGGGUGAAAGCAGGGGAUCUUCGGACCUUGCGCGAUUGAAUGAGCCGAUGUCGGAUUAGCUAGUUGGCGGGGUAAAGGCCCACCAAGGCGACGAUCCGUAGCUGGUCUGAGAGGAUGAUCAGCCACACUGGAACUGGGACACGGUCCAGACUCCUACGGGAGGCAGCAGUGGGGAAUAUUGGACAAUGGGCGCAAGCCUGAUCCAGCCAUACCGCGUGGGUGAAGAAGGCCUUCGGGUUGUAAAGCCCUUUUGUUGGGAAAGAAAAGCAGCAGGUUAAUACCCCGCUGUUCUGACGGUACCCAAAGAAUAAGCACCGGCUAACUUCGUG
RNAcentral lists this ribosomal RNA (492 nucleotides) under uncultured bacterium. RNAcentral describes it as "partial 16S ribosomal RNA". It matches the Rfam family "Bacterial small subunit ribosomal RNA", at positions 29 to 507 of the family's 1533-position model. The record is from RNAcentral.